CAAUAGCGUAUAUUAAAGUUGUUGCAGUUAAAAAGCUCGUAGUUGGAUUUCGGGAUGGCCCGGCCGGUCUGCCGCAAGGUAUGUUACUGGCCGAGCUGUUCUUCUUCGCAAGGACUGUGUGUGCUCUUAACUGAGUGUGCUCAGGAUCUGUGACGUUUACUUUGAAAAAAUUAGAGUGUUCAAAGCAAGCCAGCGCUUGAAUACAUAAGCAUGGAAUAAUGGAAUAGGACUUUGGUUCUAUUUUGUUGGUUUCUGGAACCUUAGUAAUGAUUAAGAGAGACAGUUGGGGGCAUUCGUAUUUCGUUGUCAGAGGUGAAAUUCUUGGAUUUACGAAAGACGAACUACUGCGAAAGCAUUUGCCAAGAAUGUUUUCAUUAA
Molecule: ribosomal RNA, 378 nt
Filed under: uncultured eukaryote
Lineage: Eukaryota
Description: partial 18S ribosomal RNA
Rfam family: Eukaryotic small subunit ribosomal RNA
Source: RNAcentral